AGUGAACGCUGGCGGUAGGCCUAACACAUGCAAGUCGAACGGCAGCACAGUAAGAGCUUGCUCUUACGGGUGGCGAGUGGCGGACGGGUGAGGAAUACAUCGGAAUCUACUUUUUCGUGGGGGAUAACGUAGGGAAACUUACGCUAAUACCGCAUACGACCUACGGGUGAAAGCAGGGGAUCUUCGGACCUUGCGCGAUUGAAUGAGCCGAUGUCGGAUUAGCUAGUUGGCGGGGUAAAGGCCACCAAGGCGACGAUCCGUAGCUGGUCUGAGAGGAUGAUCAGCCACACUGGAACUGAGACACGGCCCAGACUCCUACGGGAGGCAGCAGUGGGGAAUAUUGGACAAUGGGCGCAAGCCUGAUCCAGCCAUACCGCGUGGGUGAAGAAGGCCUUCGGGUUGUAAAGCCCUUUUGUUGGGAAAGAAAAGCAGCAGGUUAAUACCCCGCUGUUCUGACGGUACCCAAAGAAUAAGCACCGGCUAACUUCGUG
This 491-nucleotide ribosomal RNA is filed under the name uncultured bacterium. RNAcentral describes it as "partial 16S ribosomal RNA". It matches the Rfam family "Bacterial small subunit ribosomal RNA", at positions 29 to 507 of the family's 1533-position model. The record is from RNAcentral.